AUUGAACGCUAGCGGGAUGCCUUACACAUGCAAGUCGAACGAGUGGCGGACGGGUGAGUAAUAUAUCGGAACGUGCCCGGUAGCGGGGGAUAACUACUCGAAACAGUGGCUAAUACCGCAUACUAUUGGCUCGGCCGAUAUCGGAUUAGCUAGGUGGUGGGGUAAAGGCUCACCAAGGCAACGAUCCGUAGCUGGUCUGAGAGGACGACCAGCCACACUGGAACUGAGACACGGCCCAGACUCCUACGGGAGGCAGCAGUGGGGAAUUUUGGACAAUGGGCGAAACCCUGAUCCAGCCAUCCCGCGUGUAUGAGAAGGCCUUCGGGUUGUAAAGUACUUUUGGCAGGGAAGCGGUACCUGCAGAAUAAGCACCGGCUAACUACGUGCCAGCCGCCGCGGUAAUAC
RNAcentral lists this ribosomal RNA (405 nucleotides) under uncultured bacterium. RNAcentral describes it as "partial 16S ribosomal RNA". It matches the Rfam family "Bacterial small subunit ribosomal RNA", at positions 30 to 526 of the family's 1533-position model. The record is from RNAcentral.